GGAUGUGAGGGUGAUCUGGCUGUGACAUCUGUCACCCCAUUGAUCACCAGGGUUGAUUCGGCUGAUCUGGCUGGCUAGGUGGGUGUUCCCUUCCUCCCUCAUGGCUCCAUGUGUAUCCCUCCCGAAGCUGCGCACUCAGUCGAAGAGGACGGCCUUCCCCAAUAGAGACAGACUUGUCUUUGGUCAAGGAUAUAUGAGUAGCUGCGCUCCCCUGCUAGAACCUCCACACAAGCUCUCAAGGUCCAAAGAGGUCUUCUAAAUAAACAUUACUCAACAUUCAGUGAAAUUCCUUUUUUUCAAUUUAUUUAU
This 309-nucleotide small nuclear RNA is filed under the name Erinaceus europaeus (western European hedgehog). RNAcentral describes it as "7SK RNA". It matches the Rfam family "7SK RNA". Rfam says of the family: 7SK was discovered as an abundant small nuclear RNA in the mid-70s but a possible function has only recently been suggested. Two independent studies have found that 7SK RNA binds the CDK9/cyclin T complex (known as elongation factor P-TEFb). The record is from Rfam by way of RNAcentral. Lineage: Eukaryota; Metazoa; Chordata; Mammalia; Eulipotyphla; Erinaceidae.